UACGGAGGGGGCUAGCGUUGUUCGGAAUUACUGGGCGUAAAGCGCACGUAGGCGGAUAUUUAAGUCAGGGGUGAAAUCCCGGGGCUCAACCCCGGAACUGCCUUUGAUACUGGGUAUCUGGAGGUCGAGAGAGGCGAGUGGAAUUCCGAGUGUAGAGGUGAAAUUCGUAGAUAUUCGGAGGAACACCAGUGGCGAAGGCGGCUCGCUGGCGCGAUACUGACGCUGAGGUGCGAAAGCGUGGGGAGCAAACAGG
RNAcentral lists this ribosomal RNA (253 nucleotides) under uncultured bacterium. RNAcentral describes it as "partial 16S ribosomal RNA". It matches the Rfam family "Bacterial small subunit ribosomal RNA", at positions 524 to 776 of the family's 1533-position model. The record is from RNAcentral.